This 360-nucleotide ribosomal RNA is filed under the name Triticum aestivum (bread wheat). RNAcentral describes it as "partial small subunit ribosomal RNA". The record is from RNAcentral. Lineage: Eukaryota; Viridiplantae; Streptophyta; Magnoliopsida; Poales; Poaceae.
AUGCAUGAGGUGCGCCCUUUAGCCGUCCGCAAAUAUAUGGCAACUCAAGGCUAUAAGAGUCUUGAUAAGAAAGCUGGUAGGAGACUCCGUCUUGAGAAGGACAAGUACAUGAAGGUUACUCCGAGAUGGUGCGUCAAUAAGGGGGACUGUUGGGAGCGGAUCGUGGACUAUUGGUGUUCCAAAGAGUACAGGGCGAAAAACAAAGAUUAUAGAAAUCGGCGAGCCGGAAUGCUGGAUCCACCACAUCAUCAAGGCAACUUGAACGUUAUGGAGUACGGUGAACGUUGGGUAUAUCUUAUGGAGUUCUUUAUAAGCUUUUUCUUGUCAUACAUGUUGCCAAUCCUUGUGAUGAAAUCUUAA